Molecule: long non-coding RNA, 912 nt
Filed under: Homo sapiens (human)
Lineage: Eukaryota; Metazoa; Chordata; Mammalia; Primates; Hominidae
Description: HSALNT0327726
Source: RNAcentral
UAAUUUAAUAGUUAAUAAAAUAUUCAAUCUGACUGAUCCAUUGGUUUAAUUUUAAAAUAAAGACGACUAAUAAAAGGAGUUACAUAUCCUUAUCAAAUCCCAGGCAUUAAUGCAAGUAAAUUGCAACCCAUACGUAGGGAAAACACCAAUUUCUAAGAGACAUGAGAUUAAUGAUUGGGGGCGGGAAGGAGUGCAAGGAAAAUUCUGUGUUAGCACUGGCUUCAAUAAGUUUGCCGGAAGUUUAAUUGUUUGGAGCUGUCACGGAAGCUGUACUCUGCCUUCUGCAGAGGUGAGGGAGAAAAAAUUAGAGAGGUGCAAGUUUUAACAGAAAGGGCUAAUGCAAAAUGGUCUAUUUAUUUUUCCUCAAGCCUUUCCCCUGUCCUCACAAGCUAGCUGGGGGAAAAAGGGAGAAAUCUCCUGAAGAAUAUGGAGCAUCCAGCUUCCCGAGCAUUGUCUAAGAGAACCAGGAUGGAGAGUCCAGGCAACAUCUCCAUGGUUGGCUUGUCUGGCGGAGUAAGCUGUGCCCUCGGCGCGGGUAUCUUCAGGAGACAGAGCUCCUGGCUGCAGCGAGCCGGGACUUGCCGCGCCCCGGGGCUCCCUCAAUCAGACCCAGCCAGGCAAGCGCGGCCACAUAGGCAAGCGCGGCCACAUAGGCUAGACGCACUAUCUUCUCCUCUACCCCGCGCCGCCCUCCACCUCGGAGCGGGGACGUACGGUGGUGGCGGUGACACAAUGCGAGUGAGUGGGUCAUCUGCAGUUUUUUGUUGUUGUUGAUGAUCUUCCUGUCAUAGACAAUGCUGUAACAAACAGACUAAUGCUUCAGAAGAAUUGUAAUAUUAGGUACUAUCUGCCUUUAAGAAAAUAGAAGCAGCUGGUGUGGUGGCUCAUGCCUGUAAUCCCAGCACUUUGGGA